Molecule: ribosomal RNA, 494 nt
Filed under: uncultured bacterium
Lineage: Bacteria
Description: partial 16S ribosomal RNA
Rfam family: Bacterial small subunit ribosomal RNA
Source: RNAcentral
GACGAACGCUGGCGGCGUGCUUAACACAUGCAAGUCGAACGGUGAAGCGCCUUCCUUUUUGGUGGGUGUGGAUGAGUGGCGAACGGGUGAGUAACACGUGAGUAACCUGCCCCCUUCUUCUGGAUAACCGCAUGAAAGUGUGGCUAAUACGGGAUAUUCUGGGUCUGUCGCAUGAUGGGUCUGGGAAAGAUAUUGUUUCGGUGGGGGAUGGGCUCGCGGCCUAUCAGCUUGUUGGUGGGGUGAUGGCCUACCAAGGCGGUGACGGGUAGCCGGCCUGAGAGGGUGGACGGUCACACUGGGAGUGAGACACGGCCGAGACUCAUACGGGAGGCAGCAGUGGGGAAUAGUGCACAAUGGGCGCAAGCCUGAUGCAGCGACGCCGCGUGAGGGAUGGAGGCCUUCGGGUUGUGAACCUCUUUCGCUAGUGAAGCAGGCCUGCCUCGUUUGUGGGUGGGUUGACGGUAGCUGGAUAAGAAGCGCCGGCUAACUACGUG